This 497-nucleotide ribosomal RNA is filed under the name uncultured bacterium. RNAcentral describes it as "partial 16S ribosomal RNA". It matches the Rfam family "Bacterial small subunit ribosomal RNA", at positions 28 to 507 of the family's 1533-position model. The record is from RNAcentral.
GAUGAACGCUGGCGGCGUGCCUAAUACAUGCAAGUCGAGCGAACAGAUGAGGAGCUUGCUCCUCUGACGUUAGCGGCGGACGGGUGAGUAACACGUGGAUAACCUACCUAUAAGACUGGGAUAACUUCGGGAAACCGGAGCUAAUACCGGAUAAUAUAUUGAACCGCAUGGUUCAAUAGUGAAAGACGGUUUUGCUGUCACUUAUAGAUGGAUCCGCGCCGCAUUAGCUAGUUGGUAAGGUAACGGCUUACCAAGGCAACGAUGCGUAGCCGACCUGAGAGGGUGAUCGGACACCCUGGAACUGAGACACGGUCCAGACUCCUACGGGAGGCAGCAGUAGGGAAUCUUCCGCGAUGGGCGAAAGCCUGACGGAGCAACGCCGCGUGAGGGAUGAAGGUCUUCGGAUCGUAAAACUCUGUUAUUAGGGAAGAACAAAUGUGUAAGCAACUAUGCACGUCUUGACGGUACCUAAUCAGAAAGCCACGGCUAACUACGUG